GCCUGGCUGGCUCAGUCAGUAGAGCAUGUGACUGCUGAUCUCAGGGUUGUGAGUUCAAGCCCCAUGCUGGCG
Molecule: transfer RNA, 72 nt
Filed under: Canis lupus familiaris (dog)
Lineage: Eukaryota; Metazoa; Chordata; Mammalia; Carnivora; Canidae
Also listed under: 1 other name
Rfam family: tRNA
About the family: Transfer RNA (tRNA) molecules are approximately 80 nucleotides in length. Their secondary structure includes four short double-helical elements and three loops (D, anti-codon, and T loops).
Source: Rfam by way of RNAcentral